RNAcentral lists this ribosomal RNA (708 nucleotides) under Micoletzkya sp. CD3672. RNAcentral describes it as "partial large subunit ribosomal RNA". It matches the Rfam family "Eukaryotic large subunit ribosomal RNA", at positions 368 to 918 of the family's 3401-position model. The record is from RNAcentral. Lineage: Eukaryota; Metazoa; Nematoda; Chromadorea; Rhabditida; Diplogasteridae.
AAAGAACUUUGAAGAGAGAGUUCAAGAGGACGUGAAACCACUGGGGGCUAAGCGGAUAGAGUUGACGAGACUGGCGGCAAUCAAUGUUUGCCUUCUGCUCCGCUGCGUUGCGGGCCUGCUUGAUUGAGGCCGGGCGUGGUGCGAUGUGGGAGGUGGGCGUGCUUUUGCUGUCGGUAUACGCUGAGAUGUUUGGUUGCCCCUUCCGAAGGGCGUAGAGUGGCCCACGCUUGCGUGGUAGUCUUCUGCGUUCGUAGGUUGAUGUGGCGGCCAGAUAGCUGCAAGCCUUGCCUCUGCGCCUUGGCGUAUCUGGCGGCGGCCGGUCGUUCGGAUGGCUUGCCAUCUCGGGCGUCUGCGUUGUCGUCGGGUGCGUUUGGGCCUAGGGCUUGUUCUCGGUGUGAGAAGUUGACCACCUAUCCGACCCGUCUUGAAACACGGACCAAGAAGUCUAGCAUAUGCGCGAGUCAAUGGGUGUUAAACCUAACGGCGAAAUGAAAGUGAAGGGCACUUGUGCCUUAUAUGUGAUCCUUCGGCUAUUGUCGUCGGCGCAACAUAGCCCCAUGCUAACUGCUUGCAGUGGUGUGGCGGUAGAGCGUAUAUGCUGGGACCCGAAAGAUGGUGAACUAUGCCUGAGCAGGAUGAAGCCAGAGGAAACUCUGGUGGAAGUCCGAAGCGGUUCUGACGUGCAAAUCGAUCGUCUGACUUGGGUAU